RNAcentral lists this ribosomal RNA (301 nucleotides) under uncultured bacterium. Its description in RNAcentral is "partial 16S ribosomal RNA". It matches the Rfam family "Bacterial small subunit ribosomal RNA", at positions 509 to 807 of the family's 1533-position model. The record is from RNAcentral.
CAGUCGCCGCGGUAAGACGAACCGUGCGAACGUUAUUCGGAAUCACUGGGCUUAAAGCGCGUGUAGGCGGGCCGCCACGUCGGCUGCUGAAAUCCCCCGGCUCAACCGGGGAACGGGCACCGAUACGAGCGGCCUCGAGGGGGGUAGGGGGGUCUGGAACUUCCGGUGGAGCGGUGAAAUGCGUUGAGAUCGGAAGGAACGCCCGUGGCGAAAGCGAGGCCCUGGACCCUUUCUGACGCUGAGACGCGAAAGCCAGGGGAGCGAACGGGAUUAGAUACCCGAGUAGUCCCUGUCUCUUAUU